AUUUCCAGAAAAAGCGACGGACAGUGUCCUUUUAUCCGUCGCUUUUCUGGGAUUUU
Solanum tuberosum (potato) is the source of this 56-nucleotide non-coding RNA. The record is from Rfam. NCBI's taxonomy places the organism in Eukaryota, Viridiplantae, Streptophyta, Magnoliopsida, Solanales, Solanaceae.